Arabidopsis thaliana (thale cress) is the source of this 387-nucleotide long non-coding RNA. RefSeq annotates it as other RNA. The transcript has a single exon. Lineage: Eukaryota; Viridiplantae; Streptophyta; Magnoliopsida; Brassicales; Brassicaceae. The record is from RefSeq.
AGACAUAUGGAUCAUGUUUUGUUUCUUGUUUCGGUCUUUAGACAAUAGUUACCCACGGCUUUAAAAGUUACAAGUCUUUAGACAGAGACUUGAGGGACAAGACAUUGGAUUGAGUUAUUACAAGUCUUUAGACAGAGACUUGAGGGACAAAACAUUGGAUUGGGUUAUGACAAGUCUUUAGACUGAGACUUGAGGGACAAAACAUUGGAUUGGGUUAUGUUGGUGCAAUGAAAAUGGUACCCACGGCUUCAAACUUUAGUCUUUAGAUUGAGACUUGAGAGUGAGACUGAACGUUGAUCCUUCUUGGUGCCCACGGCUUUUAAAUCACAAAGACAUAUGGAUCAUGUUUGGUUUCUUGUUUCGGUCUUAGACAAUAGUUACCCACGG